UCCUACGGGAGGCAGCAGUGGGGAAUAUUGCACAAUGGGGGAAACCCUGAUGCAGCGACGCCGCGUGAAGAAGAAGUAUCUCGGUAUGUAAAUUCUAUCAGCAGGGAAGAUAGUGACGGUACCUGACUAAGAAGCCCCGGCUAACUACGUGCCAGCAGCCGCGGUAAUACGUAGGGGGCAAGCGUUAUCCGGAUUUACUGGGUGUAAAGGGAGCGUAGACGGUGUGGCAAGUCUGAUGUGAAAGGCAUGGGCUCAACCGUGGACUGCAUUGGAAACUGUCAUACUUGAGUGCCGGAGGGGUAAGCGGAAUUCCUAGUGUAGCGGUGAAAUGCGUAGAUAUUAGGAGGAACACCAGUGGCGAAGGCGGCUUACUGGACGGUAACUGACGUUGAGGCUCGAAAGCGUGAGGAGCAAACAGGAUUAGAUACCCUGGUAGUCCACGCCGU
This 446-nucleotide ribosomal RNA is filed under the name uncultured bacterium. RNAcentral describes it as "bacterial SSU rRNA". It matches the Rfam family "Bacterial small subunit ribosomal RNA", at positions 337 to 803 of the family's 1533-position model. The record is from RNAcentral.